This is an RNA transcript of Oncorhynchus kisutch (coho salmon), 1214 nucleotides long. It is a transcript of the gene named epoxide hydrolase 1-like, with no coding region annotated. The record is from RefSeq and is a predicted model, not a curated record. NCBI's taxonomy places the organism in Eukaryota, Metazoa, Chordata, Actinopteri, Salmoniformes, Salmonidae. The transcript is spliced from 3 exons.
UUUUUUUCUGAACUGACUUGCUUCGUUAAAUAAAAAAAAUAAAAAAAUAUGAGAUCCUCAGGGAGACUGGCUAGCUGCACACCCAGGCCACCAAGCCAGACUCCGUUGGUGAGAAUGUGAUCAUCACACACAUUUUUACCUCACUGUCAAACAAACAAACUGCCCAUCUGAAAUUCAAAGUAGUAAUAUGAUGUAUUGUAUGAUCAUAUGUUUUUAACCUGUGAUAUCCUUUGUGGAAGCAAUAGCACUUUUUAAUGUCCAAGACACAUUUCCUCUCAGAGACAACAAAAUAAAUACUAAAUCCUAAUCGAGGCGUUCUGAAGAAACCUACACUGGAUGGAUUCGAGGUGGCUCUAGCAUGUAAAUAAAAAUAAAUAAAUACAAUUUGUGGACAAUGUCUCCCCUUGCAGGUUGAGGGGUGAAUGACUCUCCAGUGGCUCUACAGACUGGAAAAGUUUUCCACCUGGGCUGACUUCAACAGCAGAGACUUGGUUCACCCUGGACUACCUGCUGACCAACACCAUGAUCUACUGGACUACCGGUUCCAUCAUCUCCACAACGAGGUUCUACAAAGAGACCCUCAAGACCAACAUCGAGAACAGACUGGAUAACGAGUUCAGGAACAUCUACUCCUACUUCCACCAAGGAAGCCACUUCGCUGCCUUGGAAGAGGCACGGCUCUUGGCCGACGACCUGCUGCAGUUUGUUAGGAAGGUGAAGUUGUUUUAAGGCUGAUGCAACAACAGCCAGUCCCAAAUUGCUCCCUACCACCUGGCACAAACCCCUCGAUGUUUGCAGUUCUGUAGAUUCUGGAUAGGUAUAAGAAGUGCAGUGGUGAAGCUCACACCAUAUUUGCUGACACCUUAAUGAAGAUCUGCAGAAAUGAAGGGUUAGGGCCAAGGAAGAGAGGUAGGAAGCGUUUGGGACUAUCAGGGGAAGGGGUGGGACAUGGGUUUGGUAUGUAAUGAACACAACCCAGGUGUGUACACUGCACUCUCCAGCCAAGUGCCAGGAAGAGAGCCAACAGAACUUCAGGGACUUAGUGUUCUCACAGAGGUGCACAACUAACUACUAAUAGUCCAAGUUUCUCUAAAACCAUUUUAUACUGUUAUCAAAGCUCAAAAUCAAACUGUCUUAUCAAGUCAAUAUUUAAAAUACUCUGUCAAACAAUGCUAUUAUAAUUUAAGAUCAAUGUAAUAUGAAUAAGGCUUAGU